Molecule: ribosomal RNA, 729 nt
Filed under: uncultured eukaryote
Lineage: Eukaryota
Description: SSU rRNA
Rfam family: Eukaryotic small subunit ribosomal RNA
Source: RNAcentral
CGGGUGCACUGAUCCAGCCGGGCCUUUCCCUCUGUGGAACCCCAUGGCCUUCACUGGCUGUGGUGGGGAAACAGGACUUUUACUUUGAAAAAAUUAGAGUGCUCCAGGCAGGCCUAUGCUCGAAUACAUUAGCAUGGAAUAAUAGAAUAGGACGUGUGGUUCUAUUUUGUUGGUUUCUAGGACCGCCGUAAUGAUUAAUAGGGACAGUCGGGGGCAUCAGUAUUCAAUUGUCAGAGGUGAAAUUCUUGGAUCUAUUGAAGACUAACUACUGCGAAAGCAUUUGCCAAGGAUGUUUUCAUUGAUAAGGAACGAAAGUUAGGGGAUCGAAGACGAUCAGAUACCGUCGUAGUCUUAACUAUAAACUAUGCCGACUAGGGAUCGGACGAUGUUAUUCUUUGACGCGUUCGGCACCUUUCGAGAAAUCAAAGUGCUUGGGCUCCAGGGGGAGUAUGGUCGCAAGGCUGAAACUUAAAGAAAUUGACGGAAGGGCACCACCAGGGGUGGAACCUGCGGCUUAAUUUGACUCAACACGGGGAAACUCACCAGGUCCAGACACAGUGAGGAUUGACAGAUUGAGAGCUCUUUCUUGAUUCUGUGGGUGGUGGUGCAUGGCCGUUCUUAGUUGGUGGAGUGAUUUGUCUGCUUAAUUGCGAUAACGAACGAGACCUUAACCUGCUAAAUAGCCCGUACUGCUUUGGCAGUCCGCCGGCUUCUUAGAGGGACUAUCGG